RNAcentral lists this transfer RNA (73 nucleotides) under Olpidium bornovanus. It matches the Rfam family "tRNA". From Rfam's summary of the family: Transfer RNA (tRNA) molecules are approximately 80 nucleotides in length. Their secondary structure includes four short double-helical elements and three loops (D, anti-codon, and T loops). Further hydrogen bonds mediate the characteristic L-shaped molecular structure. tRNAs have two regions of fundamental functional importance: the anti-codon, which is responsible for specific mRNA codon recognition, and the 3' end, to which the tRNAs corresponding amino acid is attached (by aminoacyl-tRNA synthetases). tRNAs cope with the degeneracy of the genetic code in two manners: having more than one tRNA (with a specific anti-codon) for a particular amino acid; and 'wobble' base-pairing, i.e. permitting non-standard base-pairing at the 3rd anti-codon position. Lineage: Eukaryota; Fungi; Olpidiomycota; Olpidiomycetes; Olpidiales; Olpidiaceae. The record is from Rfam by way of RNAcentral.
CGACGAUUAGUGUAGCGGUUUAGCACACUGGAUUUUGAUUCCAGUAACGCGAGUUCGAAUCUCGCAUCGUCCU